GGAUCUGUAGCUCAGUUGGUUAGAGCAACCGGCUCAUAACCGGUCGGUCCUGGGUUCGAGUCCCAGAGGAUCCA
Molecule: transfer RNA, 74 nt
Filed under: Lachnospiraceae bacterium
Lineage: Bacteria; Bacillati; Bacillota; Clostridia; Lachnospirales; Lachnospiraceae
Description: tRNA-Ile
Rfam family: tRNA
About the family: Transfer RNA (tRNA) molecules are approximately 80 nucleotides in length. Their secondary structure includes four short double-helical elements and three loops (D, anti-codon, and T loops).
Source: RNAcentral